UCAAAAUGAAAAAAAAAACACCCAAACUAAACAAGCGGCUAAAACCAUAGCUAAAAUCACGUAUACUAUUUUCUCCCUCCCUCCCUCCCACGAUAAAACCAGAGCUCAGAGCUCAUCGGAAGGUCAGAGCGAAGCAGAGGCAAACGGAUCAGAAGGUAAUACCCAUAACUUUAUUGGGUUUGUAAAAAAAAUUUCAGGCAUUUGAAAAUCUAGGGUUUGUUUUUUAAAAAUCCCUCUUUUUCCGGCGGGGUUCGUCGUGGCUGCUGGUUGCACGAAUUUCUUUACUUUCUCGUGGCCUAAUUUCUUUAAUCGUUGCCUAAUUCGUACAAACUCAAAAUCUGUUUUCAUUUUUGUGGUUCCUUAAAAUUCUCCCUUGAAUGAAGUGGUAUAGCCUAUGAUGUGCAGCGUAAGUUUAUACUCAAGGUACAAUCUGCAAAAGUUUCCGUGUGGUUAUUAUAUGUUUAUAACCUAUUUUGAUUCACUAACCAUGAAUGUAUUUAUUAUAUAUCUAUAUUAGAUACACACACGCUUCUGAUUGAAUUAUUCCUUUCAUUAUCAUCAAAAGAAGCAUUGGUACUAUUUAUCUCGUUGGUUUCAUUUGUAUCUUCCUUCAAUAAUGUUUCCUCUAAUUCUGGGUUGAUGUAGGGUGAUUUAUUAUUUACUCUUUAGACAUGGACCUGAUUGAAUUAUUCCUUUCAUAUUAUUAACUUAUUGACUGCAAAAUCAAUUAGAAUUGUUUUGUCGUGCAAUUUGAAAAUUCCAGAAUCUGUGCUUCAUGUAUCUAAAUUCUGAGAUCUAAUUGUUGUUGUUCGUGCUUAAAUGUUGUUUGUUUUUUUACCGUAGGGAUGGAUGCUAAUUUAGAGGAUGAAGCACGGGGUAGUGACGAAUGUGGUGAUAAUGUUGACAAUAGUGAAAUGGAAGUAGAGAAUAAGAGAAUUGAAGGGAGAGAACUCGCCGGAUUUGGUACGAAAUCGGAUAACCUUUCUAACGCGAACUGAGAAAUCAAUGGAGAGCCAGUGAGAGAGAGAGGAGAGUUAGAGAGAGUCUGAGGUGGGAAAAGGGUUUUUUUAUGUCUAUUAUAGAUAACCCAUAUUUCACUACCCGCUCCAGCCAUAUCAGUCAUCCGCGUGUUUUUUUUAAAGUUCGCUGCUGGUUCGUUUUUCUGAGUUCGCUUUAGAAAGAUUUCCUAUAUAUAUAUAUAUAUAUAUAUAUAUAUAUAUAUAGAAAUGAUUUAUAGUAUGUAUUUGCUAUGAAUGAAAAAUAGGCAAAUAAUAUCAUAACUAUACAUUACAUAAAUUAAGGGUUGAGAUUAAAAAGGAAAACACGCCAUCCACUAGCGGACGCAUAAAAUAGAAAUUUCGGACCACAAUCUUCGGAUUUCGAAAUUUCUUACUUGCUGUGCGAUUUUGAUCUGAUGAGAGAACUAGUUCGCAAAGGUUCUGCAAAAAGACCACUGAAAAAUAAAAUCCUGCAAGAUUUUUUGAGUGACUAAUUUCUCCAUUUCUGUCUUUGAUUAUCUUUUAAAUUCUUAGUUGCAAUUUGCAAAAUUAUUCUUUAUUUUAUUCUUUUGAUGAAUUUCAACUCUCAACUAUUUUCAGUCCAGAUCAAAAACCAUAAACAGAAAACCAAACACAAAAAUUAAUCCAAAAAUGACAUCAUUAGCAACCCGUUUAGCUUCAUUCCUCUUCUUCUUCCCGAUUGGUAUUAGACGUCUUCUCUCCUCUUAUCAUUAGCAUGAAUGAAAUUAACUUUGAUCAAUUGAGGAAAAAAUAUUAGGGGGUUAUCUUUCCUAGCUCUUUUCAUCUUCUUUUUAAUACUAUAUAUAUAUAUAUAUAUAUAUAUAUAUAUAUAUAUAUAUAGUCCUAAAAUUAAUAUAAUUUCGUUCAAGUUUUAGAAACAACAAAUAUUAUAAUUAGUAGUUUAAAACUAAAAACUUCAAAUAAAUUUUGAAAUUUUAGAAUUUUACGAAUUGAUUCAAAAAAAUUAAAAUAUAUAUCUAAUUUUAGAACAGAGGGAUGGAACAAGUAAAUUAGAACUUGCAAGCAUAGUAUCAAGGGGAGAGAUUAGAGUACACCUCUCAAACGGGCUAGGCUGAGCCAAAACGGCCUGAGUUUUGGCGGGUCGAAAAAUGUAAGCCCAAAGCUUGUGGGUUCACGAGCGGGCCGGGCCGGCUCGUGGAUCGAGGGGUGUUUUAUGCCUAUUUUUUGGGCUUAAAGUGCACGGACCGGGCUUUUAACGGGUCAGGUCAAAAAAUACGAUCCAAAGCCCGUUUUUUAACGGGCGAGCUUAACCGGUCCGCGGGCUUUAGACCCGUUUGUCAGAUCUAGAUAAGAGAGAACUAGAAAUACUAAUCAGUCAAUAUAUAUCUUGCGACUUUGUAUGUCAACUUUUUAGAUGCAAACACUGCUUGAAUAUUUAUAGUUUAUAAUAUUUUAAUGAUUUAUUUAAUACUUAUCCAAUCUAAUAUAUUGAUAUACGUCAUAAUCAUAAUUCAUUAAAAAAUUCUUGCAAUACAUAACAUGACUCUUUCUUAAUUAAUAGUACCAAGAAAAAACACAUUUAUGUAUGAGAGAGAAAAAGUUAUAUAGGUCUUUUAUUUAUUUUUUGGGCUUUUGAAAAAGUCUUCUCGGUAGAGGAUUUGUUUUUGUCGAUAACGACGGGAAAAAGUAUUGUUUAAUUAAUACUUAAUUUUUAUUGUUCUUAUGAAAUUGUAAUUAUUAAUUAAUGAAAUGAAAUUCUUGGAAAAUAACGACACAUCCUAGUAAUUAAAAACAAAAACAAAAAGACGUCCUAGGAUAUGGAGUAAUUUUUCUAGUUUCCCCUAGAAAACAUCAUGUAUAACAAUAGACUAGCCUAAACAUUCCCUAGUUUAAUUAUAUUGGCAUCAAUAUUGCAGAUCUAUCUGUAACGCAUUUACAAUAAAUUGAUAAUUAAAACAUGAGACAGGUAAAUUUGAUUCUCUCUCACAUGAAAUGAAGUGGAUCUCACUUAAUAUUCAUCAAAAAUAGUUUGUGUAAUUAUCAAAUUUACUCGUGGAAAUAUCAAUUCUCAGAAACAUUCACCAACUUACGCAUAUACAAGAGUCUAUGGAAAGCUAAAUCAAUUGACUAAUACGAUCACCUUCUGGCAUGCGUGUCGACACUGUAUUAAUCAAAGUUAACUUAAUUUAUGAGCAUGCGUGUCAACACUGUAUUGAUUAAAGUUAACUUCAUUCAUGCUGACUACUCCUCUAUUUCUCAUUCAUUCAUGUAUAUAUGCAGAAUUGAAGAAGAAGAAAAACUCAGUAUUCUCAUGAGUACUCAUCUAGCAACAACGAACAAACACACCCUGAAUGAAUUAAGCCAUCAUUGAU
RNAcentral lists this long non-coding RNA (3352 nucleotides) under Panax ginseng (ginseng). RNAcentral describes it as "long non-coding RNA (PGIN_LNC004105)". Lineage: Eukaryota; Viridiplantae; Streptophyta; Magnoliopsida; Apiales; Araliaceae. The record is from RNAcentral.